Molecule: non-coding RNA, 73 nt
Organism: Stegodyphus mimosarum
Lineage: Eukaryota; Metazoa; Arthropoda; Arachnida; Araneae; Eresidae
Source: Rfam
GCCUUCGUGGUGUAGCGGUCAGCAUGCUCGACGCGUAUUCGAGAGGUCGGUGGUUCGAGUUCCGCCGAGGGCA